GACCUAGCGGCGGACGGGUGAGUAACACGUAAAUAAUCUGCCCUUCAGUUGGGGACAACUAUUCUAACGGAUAGCUAAUACCGAAUAUUGUAACGCAUCAUAAGGUGUCGUUACGAAAGGCUUCGGCCGCUGGAGGAUGAAUUUGCGGCGCAUUAGUUUGUUGGUGAGGUAACGGCCCACCAAGACUUCGAUGCGUAGCCGGCCUGAGAGGGUGAACGGCCACAUUGGGACUGAGAUACGGCCCAGACUCC
Molecule: ribosomal RNA, 251 nt
Filed under: uncultured bacterium
Lineage: Bacteria
Description: partial 16S ribosomal RNA
Rfam family: Bacterial small subunit ribosomal RNA
Source: RNAcentral